Molecule: ribosomal RNA, 237 nt
Filed under: uncultured bacterium
Lineage: Bacteria
Description: partial 16S ribosomal RNA
Rfam family: Bacterial small subunit ribosomal RNA
Source: RNAcentral
UGAGCAAUCUGCCCUUCUCUUCGGAAUAAGCGUUGGAAACGACGUCUAAUGCCGAAUACGACCUCCUUUCGCAUGAUCGGAGGUGGAAAGCUCCGGCGGAGAAGGAUGAGCUCGCGGCCUAUCAGCUAGUUGGUGUGGGUAAUGGCCCACAAGGCGACGACGGGUAGCCGGCCUGAGAGGGUAACCGGCCACACUGGGACUGAGACACGGCCCAGACUCCGUACGGGAGGCAGCAGG